AUUAUGGUCUUGUGUGACACGAA
This 23-nucleotide non-coding RNA is filed under the name Arabidopsis thaliana (thale cress). The record is from RNAcentral. Lineage: Eukaryota; Viridiplantae; Streptophyta; Magnoliopsida; Brassicales; Brassicaceae.